AUUUCAGAGGCUAGUGAAGUUAUUUUCCUUUUUCUUUCACUUCAUGCAUUAAACUGUGUUUUAUUCCUAAUGUGUAUCCAAUUUUAGGUUGUUAAACUGCAAUCAAAAGCACUUAGGAGGAAUGGAUCUGUCCCUGUUAUGGGAUUUGAACUGACAUCUUUAUCCACUGGAACUUGAGUGCCCAGGACACACCAGAGAGGGGAUUUUGAGAGCGUUUCACAAGGCCUGCAGCUGUGAGCCGGUUGCAGCAUGAGGAAAAGCCCUCCAUCACCCCAAUGCACAGGAAAGAGAAGACAGAUGACAGUAGCUAUCCUCCUUCAAUACUGAGGAAAAGGCCACCUGUGGACCAAGCUGUGGGGGAAAAGAGGAAAGCAGAGAGAAGGGUUCGAUUUCGUGAGCCAGAAGAAGUCAUUGAACAUGGUACGCUCAAGCUACUAAGCCUUUGGCAUGACCUUUCCAGCCUUUGACAUUCACCCUGUCUGUCUACAUUAACUUCCCCCUGUCAUAACGUUAUGUGUGAUUUGGAGCUCAGCACGGAGCAGAGGACAGACAAUUUUUGCUCUGUGCUCUGCAGAAUUGUAUCUGGUCCAUUUGCCUGCCUGACCCGGGAGGCAACAAGCUUCUCCAUCCCAUUAGAGCAGCCUCAGGGCUGUUCUCGUGGUGACCUCCUGAGUCAGCCCCCGCAGGGAUCGUUGUAGAGCAUGGGUUUGGCUGAGCCCAGAACAGUGCUUCCACUGGUAGAAAAGGAUCUCAAACUACAUUUGAACACAAAUUUAAGACCAAAUUUGUCCUCUGGAUAACCAGGAUGUAAUGGCAAGGAGGGAAGCAGCCCCUUCAAGUUUCUGAGUAACAUGCGUGCCAUCAGAUACAAUAGUAAAGGUCUGAGCCUGGCUGGCCAACUGGGGCUAAAAGCUGCCAGGAUGUAACCCUUUCUGCCAAGGAGGGUACCCAAGGAAUGAUAGAGCUAACAUAACCUCUGGGCUUUCACUCAUGAGCCAAAAAAAACGGUUUGCAGGUCAACUGGGAGUGCCCUGAAGCAGAGGUCUGGCAAAAGGAUCCAGUCUGCACUUCUGCACGCGCUAUAUACAAUUCAUAAACAAAUAAGAACUGUUGCUUCAUUCCCACCUUUACAAACUGACCCAACUAA
This 1147-nucleotide long non-coding RNA is filed under the name Calidris pugnax (ruff). RNAcentral describes it as "lncRNA (ENSCPUG00000004126.1)". The record is from RNAcentral. Lineage: Eukaryota; Metazoa; Chordata; Aves; Charadriiformes; Scolopacidae.